This 446-nucleotide ribosomal RNA is filed under the name uncultured bacterium. RNAcentral's name for it is "partial 16S ribosomal RNA". It matches the Rfam family "Bacterial small subunit ribosomal RNA", at positions 338 to 795 of the family's 1533-position model. The record is from RNAcentral.
CCUACGGGAGGCAGCAGUCGAGAAUCAUUCACAAUGGGGGAAACCCUGAUGGUGCGACGCCGCGUGGGGGAAUGAAGGUCUUCGGAUUGUAAACCCCUGUCAUGUGGGAGCAAAUUAAAAAGAUAGUACCACAAGAGGAAGAGACGGCUAACUCUGUGCCAGCAGCCGCGGUAAUACAGAGGUCUCAAGCGUUGUUCGGAAUCACUGGGCGUAAAGCGUGCGUAGGCUGUUUCGUAAGUCGUGUGUGAAAGGCGCGGGCUCAACCCGCGGACGGCACAUGAUACUGCGAGACUAGAGUAAGGGAGGGGGAACCGGAAUUCGCGGUGUAGCAGUGAAAUGCGUAGAGAUCGAGAGGAACACUCGUGGCGAAGGCGGGUUCCUGGACAUUAACUGACGCUGAGGCACGAAGGCCAGGGGAGCGAAAGGGAUUAGAUACCCGAGUAGUC